RNAcentral lists this ribosomal RNA (253 nucleotides) under uncultured bacterium. RNAcentral's name for it is "partial 16S ribosomal RNA". It matches the Rfam family "Bacterial small subunit ribosomal RNA", at positions 524 to 776 of the family's 1533-position model. The record is from RNAcentral.
UACGUAGGGUGCGAGCGUUGUCCGGAAUUAUUGGGCGUAAAGGGCUCGUAGGCGGUUUGUCGCGUCGGGAGUGAAAAUCCAGGGCUUAACUCUGGACUGGCUUCCGAUACGGGCAGACUAGAGGUAUGCAGGGGAGAACGGAAUUCCUGGUGUAGCGGUGAAAUGCGCAGAUAUCAGGAGGAACACCGGUGGCGAAGGCGGGUCUCUGGGCAAUAACUGACGCUGAGGAGCGAAAGCGUGGGGAGCGAACAGG